RNAcentral lists this ribosomal RNA (467 nucleotides) under uncultured bacterium. Its description in RNAcentral is "partial 16S ribosomal RNA". It matches the Rfam family "Bacterial small subunit ribosomal RNA", at positions 28 to 506 of the family's 1533-position model. The record is from RNAcentral.
GACGAACGCUGGCGGCGUGCUUAACACAUGCAAGUCGAACGGAAAGGCCCUGCUUUUGUGGGGUGCUCGAGUGGCGAACGGGUGAGUAACACGUGAGUAACCUGCCCUUGACUUUGGGAUAACUUCAGGAAACUGGGGCUAAUACCGGAUAGGAGCUCCUGCUGCAUGGUGGGGGUUGGAAAGUUUCGGCGGUUGGGGAUGGACUCGCGGCUUAUCAGCUUGUUGGUGGGGUAGUGGCUUACCAAGGCUUUGACGGGUAGCCGGCCUGAGAGGGUGACCGGCCACAUUGGGACUGAGAUACGGCCCAGACUCCUACGGGAGGCAGCAGUGGGGAAUAUUGCACAAUGGGCGGAAGCCUGAUGCAGCAACGCCGCGUGCGGGAUGACGGCCUUCGGGUUGUAAACCGCUUUCGCCUGUGACGAAGCGUGAGGGACGGUAAUGGGUAAAGAAGCACCGGCGAACUACGU